Molecule: unclassified non-coding RNA, 321 nt
Filed under: Hevea brasiliensis (rubber tree)
Lineage: Eukaryota; Viridiplantae; Streptophyta; Magnoliopsida; Malpighiales; Euphorbiaceae
Source: RNAcentral
CGGGCACGUGUGUGAGCAUGAGCUUAACAUGAAAAUAAUACUUAAAAAAAAAAGAGAAUUUAGUAAAUGCAAUGCAUGAGAUGCAAAAGCCUCUUGAUGAUCAACUGGCUUUGCCUCACAUAACAAUUUAUAAAACGAGAAAAAUCAGUGUCAACUUUAUACCUUUGAUCUUCUCUCUAAGCAAAAGUGAUAAUUAAAGCUGAUCAAGACUAUAAAAUAAUUAACAUGAUUGCCAGAUUAGAUCAAAUAAUUUUAAUCAAUAAGACAAAGUUACAGCACUAACCCAAUACCAAAGAGAAGUAAAAUAUAAUAUAUAUUUAC